ACCAGCUCUACUGCGUUGCCCAGGAAAGGUGCAGGGGCCACUCUCCCAAGAGCUGCAGCAGGGCCAGCUCACGCAAGCCUCCACCAACAGGAUCAGCUCUGCUGUGCUGCCCACGUGAGGAGCAGGGCCCGCUUCCGGAGUGCUGCAGCUGGUGUGUCUGUGGUCCUAACCUCGGGGCUGAGCUCAUCAAACCUCGUGGAUGAUGCAAAGUAAACCAAGCAAGUCUUCUGUGUUCAUUGCUUUCAUGUUGCUGGAACUACGAUGCCUGACAGAAACGACUUCAGGUUCACAGUUUCAAAGGAGCCCGAGUUCAUCCUCGUGAGGAAAGCACAGUGAAAUGAGCGGCAGUGGGAGUGUAGGACUACCCGGGCUGGUUCUGUGUCAGCUUGACGCAAGUUAGAGACACCUGUGAAGAAGGAACUCCACUUGAGAAAACACCCCCACUAAGUUGGCCUGUGGACAAGCCCAUGAGUAGACAUCCUAACUAAGCUGGAGACAGAGACUCUUCACAUCGUACAAACCAGGAAGCAGAGAAUGCAGAGGUGUACCAGAGGUGAAUGUAAUCUCCAAAGACCCACUCCUAGAGGUCUACUUCCACUAAGUAGUACCCACAUCCCAAAGAUUCCACAACCUCCUGCAACAGUGCCACCAUCAGGGGAAUUAGUGCCCACACACAUGAGCCUGUGAGGACCCUUCACAUUCAAACCAAGGCACCCACUCUCUUCCUAUUACAGAACAAGACUGAAGGCCUGAGAAAUGAAGUGACCCCUCAAGAUCACACAACUAGAAGCUGCUGAAACCAGACCUAGAGAUCAGAGCUAAUUUAGAAACCAACAAGAGUUCAACUUUCUCCCAGCCUGUGGUUCUUAACUUAAGAACAUUGCAGCCAUUCAGUAUGCUUUUCUAGAAUUUAAUGCACAUUGGACCGGCUUGUACCUUCUCUAAAGAAACAUGAUAUGAGCCGCUGUGUAUGUAUUUCAAAUAAAAAGUAGCUUCAAUUUUUCAAGGUUUAUGAAAUGAAGCAGC
This is a non-coding RNA of Peromyscus maniculatus bairdii (prairie deer mouse), 1026 nucleotides long. The record is from RefSeq and is a predicted model, not a curated record. Lineage: Eukaryota; Metazoa; Chordata; Mammalia; Rodentia; Cricetidae.